GCAAUCCGACCCCGAGUCGGCAAUCUCUCGACAACAACAGACUGUUCCUCUGAGGCACGCCGCGGCCCCCUGCUCCACUACUCCCUGCAACGGCCGUAUCCGGCGCUGCCCCACGAUCUCCUGUAACAGCCGUACAAAGCGGAGCUCCACUAUGCCCUGCCAUGGCUGUACCCAGCGCUGCCCCACGACGCCCUGUAACGGCCAUG
RNAcentral lists this long non-coding RNA (206 nucleotides) under Phoenix dactylifera (date palm). RNAcentral describes it as "long non-coding RNA (PDAC_LNC022005)". Lineage: Eukaryota; Viridiplantae; Streptophyta; Magnoliopsida; Arecales; Arecaceae. The record is from RNAcentral.